RNAcentral lists this ribosomal RNA (310 nucleotides) under uncultured bacterium. RNAcentral describes it as "partial 16S ribosomal RNA". It matches the Rfam family "Bacterial small subunit ribosomal RNA", at positions 503 to 807 of the family's 1533-position model. The record is from RNAcentral.
AAGAGACAGCAGUCGCCACGGUAAGACAGAGGAUGGAAGCGUUAUCCGGAAUGAUUGGGCGUAAAGCGUCUGUAGGUGGCUUCUCAAGUCCGCCGUCAAAUCCCAGGGCUCAACCCUGGACAGGCGGUGGAAACUACCAAGCUGGAGUACGGUAGGGGCAGAGGGAAUUUCCAGUGGAGCGGUGAAAUGCGUUGAGAUCGGAAAGAACGCCAACGGCGAAAGCACUCUGCUGGGACGACACUGACACUAAGAGACGAAAGCUAGGGGAGCAAAUGGGAUUAGAUACCCCAGUAGUCCCUGUCUCUUAUAC